Molecule: long non-coding RNA, 6102 nt
Filed under: Sus scrofa (pig)
Lineage: Eukaryota; Metazoa; Chordata; Mammalia; Artiodactyla; Suidae
Description: lncRNA (ENSSSCG00055003970.1)
Source: RNAcentral
UCGGCUAUUUCUGUUUUUGCUGUUCCUUGGAAAUCCUUCAUUCACUCGCUGAUCCAUUCCACUUGACGGGGAUUUAUCCAGGUUUUGCUUUGUGCCAAGUCUGUGUUAAGGGCCAAGACUGCAAAAGUCAGUGACCUGCCCUCAAGGCUUUUUUGCUUCUGGGGUAGAAACCAAAGGUUUUUAGAUAAACAACUUUCCAGAAGGUAACUUAUUAAAUCCUGAAAUGAGUGACUGUCGGGACUGUCCUUUAGAACAUUCAAGAGUGACAUUCAAGGAGUUCCCAUCGUGGCUCAGUGGUUAAUGAAUCCGACUAGGAACCAUGAGGUUGUGGGUUCGAUCCCUGGCCUCGCUCGGUGGGUUGGGGAUCUGGCGUUGCCGUGAGCUGUGGUGUAGGUUGCAGAUGCAGCUCGGAUCCUGCAUUGCUGUGGCCCUGGUGUAGGCCGGGGGCUACAGCUCCGAUUAGACCCCUAGCCUGGGAACCUAGAAAAAGACCCCCCCCCAAAAAAAAAGAAAGAGUGACAUUCAAGAUCCUAGAACAGGAAGAGAUCUUAGAGUUGGUCUAAGGGUCUUCCUGCUCUUCUCCAGACAGAUGAGAGCCUGAAACCCUAAAAGUAACCUCAGGGUCACACACAUAUGACCUUCGAGGCAGGGUCUAGAAGCCAGAGCUAGGCUCUUUCCAUCAUAUCCUUUGGCCUUUUCUUUCCUGUAAUUUUUUUUUUAAUAGUUAUUUCCCCAAUACAAUUUUUUUUUUCUACUGUACAGCAUGGUGACCCAGUUACACAUACAUGUACACAUUGUAUUUUCACACAUUAUCAUGCUCUGUCAUAAGUGACUAGACAUAAUUCCCAGGGCUACACAGUAGGAUCUCAUUGCUAAUCCAUUCCAAAGGCAAAGUUUGCAUCUGUUAACCCCAAGCUCCCCAACCACCCCACUCCCUUCCCCUCCCCCUUGGCAAGCCACAAGCCUCUUCUCCAAGUCCAUGAUUUUCUUUUCUGUAUCUUUCUUGUAAUUUUAAGUAGGGAACACUUACGAUGUGAGUCCUGUCGAAAUCAUGGGAACAGGAGCAGCAGACCAUCUCAUUUAGCCUCAUUGACUGGGUGGAAGUUGUUUGUCCUACCCUGUAGAUGAAUAUGCUGAGGCUAGGAGAGGUGAUGACGUUUACCCAGCAUUCAGAGAGCCGGGGGUGGGAGUUCCUGUUGUGGCUCAGCAGAAAUGAAUCUGACUAGUAUCCAUGAGGACACAGGUUCGAUCCCUGGCCUCACUCAGUGGGUUAAGGAUCUGACAUUGCCGUGAGCUGUGGUGUAGGCCCAUGGCUAUGGCUCUCAUUCGACCCCUAGCCUGGGAAACUCCAUGUGCCAUGGGUGUGGCCCUAAAAAGACAAAAAGCAAAAAAACAAACAGCCGUGGUGGAAUCAGCAUUGUAACUUGGGUCAGUCUCACAAAGCUGAUACUAACUUCCCGUAUGUCCUAGGCCCGCUAUAGAAUUCCAGAUUUCUCUACUCAGGAGGCCCUUAGCAUCAGAUUCCUCUAGACUUACUGAUGGAGACUUUUUAUUUUUAAUCCUCAUGGGAAAUGCAUUUCCUACUAGGUACUCAUGUUACCUAGUUCAUUUGUAACCUGAUGGGUUUUUUUUUUAACCCUUUCCUGUUAGUGUCUAGUGAGAUUUUUGCUCCAGGAAGGAUUCCUUGUGUUCAGUGGAUAUGUCUGACUAUCUUAACUCAAAGUACUGAAUUUUCAGCCUUAGCUGUAAUUGCGUAAUUUUUUUCCACUCCCUGUUGUGGAGAGAUAUUAAAAAACUAUUGGAGACACAUGAGCUGGUGGUUGGCUGCGAUUCCUUUGUAACCAGAGCUGCCACGGCAUCACUGUUUGCUUGGUUCUUUAAUGCGUGCUACCUGCCCCCCCUACCCCCGCCGUCUUAGCACCGUCUCGGCUUCAUGAACAUGUUACCAGCUGGCAGGGGGUGGUGAGGAGGGGGGUGUGUGAGGGCUUGUUUAACAGUGUCUUCCUCCUUGUAGUAAAUGCAACCAAGCCUGAAAUUUUUCUGUUCCUCUUGUCUGAUUUCUUCUGAUGAAGAGACUAUUUACAAAGCAAUUGACUCUGUAUUUGACUCUGGAUUUUUUUGUUCUAAAGUCAGGAUCUUCAUACCUUGGAGUUCCCAUCAUGAUGUUGUGGGUUAAGAAUCCGACUGCAAGUGGCUUGGGUUGCUGCAGAGGUGUGGGUUCCAUCCUCAGCUCAGCCCAGUGGGUUAAAGGAUCCAGCAGUGCCACAGCUGUGGCUUGAUUUCAAUCCCCGGUCAGGGAACUUACAUAUGCCACAGAUAUGGCCAUAAAAAAAGACAAAAGAAUGGUACAAACGCUUUAUACAUUGGAAAAUGGGCUGGAUGUUACCCAGCUUGCAGGGUUGUGAGGCUUACCUUGGACAAGUUACUGACUCUAAGCCCCAGUUCCUUGUCUACCAAAUAGGGGUAAUAAUGGUAGGACUAUGUCAUAGACUUGUUGUGAGGCUUCAGUGGGAUAAUGCAUGUAGAGUGCAGGGCAUACAAGUGCUCAAUAAAUCUUAGACGGUGUUAUCAUUACUGUCCAGGACUUUUCAGUUGGCUAAACCAGGCACAGCCCACACUCACAUCUCUUCAUGGAAUAAAGCUCCCCAAACCUCUUCGUCUGCCUCUUUCUGUCCUUUCUUAUUCCCUGUCCAGGUCCAAAGGUGUUGUGCCCCUUCAGAGGGAAACAAACUUUCUUAGUCCUUUGUUGUCCUGGUCCUUCCCCAGUCAAGUCCUGUCUCCCCUGCAAAACCAUCAUCUGGGAGUUCCCAUCAUGGCGCAGUGGUUAACGAAUCCAACUAGGAACCAUGAGGUUGCAGGUUCGGUCCCUGCCCUUGCUCAGUGGGUUAAUGAUCCGGCGUUGCCGUGAGCUGUGGUGUAGGUUGCAGACGCGGCUCGGAUCCUGCGUUGCUGUGGCUCUGGCGUAGGCCGGUGGCUACAGCUCCGAUUCGACCCCUAGCCUGGGAACCUCCAUAUGCCGAGGGAGUGGCCCAAAGAAAUAGCAAAAAGACAAAAAAACAAACAAACAAAAUAAACCCAUCAUCUGGCUCCUCCUUAUCUCCUACUCUCUCAUUUCUGCCAGCAUCUUUUCCUGUGCUCUUUCUGGCACUUGAGAUGCCCUUCCUCCUUCACUUCCCCAAUCACAAAGCCAACUCUUCCUUUAAGGCCUGGCUUUUCUGUGGAACCUUGCCUUGGUUAAGAUACGCUUUUGCUGCAUUCAGCAAAACCCAAAAAAGUGGCUUAAGCAAGAGUGAGGUUUAUUUCUCAUAUAAAAGAAUUCUAGAGAUAAGCAGUUCAGAGAGAGUAUGGUGACUCAGUGAUCCUCAGGAAUUUAGGCUUCUGUUUGCUUUUCUGUCUCAAGGUUGCCUUGUGGUCCAAAAUAGCUGCUGGAACUCCAGCCAUCACAUUCAUGUUUCAGACAAGAAUUAGAAGAAAGGGAGAAAGGACUUAAGAGUGAGUAGCAGCUGUUGGUCUGGCUUUAAAGGCACUUUCCUAGAAGCCUCUCUUGACAAUUUCUAUUCAGAUCUCGUUAGCCAUUUCUGGCUACAGGGGAGGCUGGGGAAUGUAGUGUUUUAUCUGGGCAUAUGGCCACCUCAAGUAAAACAGGGGCUCUGUUACAAAGAAAAAUGGAAGAAUUGAUAUUGAGUAGGCAACUAGCAGCCUCUGGCACAAGCCUUUUCCAACUACUCGAACCCAUCUUUCGGUUCUUCGCAUGAGCCCUACACUCACAAUUGUCGUAUUAUUGUGCCAUCUAUUAAUUCAUUGACCCAGUGAACAAAUAACAAGUGAGCCACUGCUCUGUGCAAGGCACGAUGCCUUUUAUAUGUUCGCUGUCAAGUGUCACUCUCAAACUAAGAGGUUAGCUGGCUCUUUGAGAGAAGGGAUCAUGGCUUAUGCUGCUUUUUCUCCCUCACAAUAACACCUUUCACAAAGCUGGGCACGUGGCAAGUGCUGGAUAAGUACCUCAUUGAUCUUCUAAUAGUCACAGAUGAGACGCUCAGUGAAAACUUCAAUUCCUUGACAUGGGACUGUGCCCAGCCGUUACUGGUUGCGUAAGGUUUGUUUGGGGUUCAUUCUGGUUUGAAGGUAGAGCCUAGGUUCUCUUGCUGCAUCAGUGCUGUGUUGCUGCCACACAGACCUGUUCCGGUAUUGGGGUGGCUCUGUCUGUUUUGGAAACUGGAUUCUGUUGGGAUACUCAACUAGAAUUAUAAGCAGACCUGUCUGUGCCCACCUGACUGUCUUCACCACCACUCUGCCCGUGUAGCUGUUUUUACUCAGCUCGAAUCUCCCUUGUGAUUUCUGCACUGCGGAGCUGCCAGGUGGAUCUGCAGUCUUUGCGCAGCGAGCGUCAGCCGCGGUUCACGUUCCUGCCUUCCCAUCUGAUCCCUGCUCCUGUCUGCCCGAGACAAGACUGUCUGAAGGGAGGUUGCCUCGAGCUUAUGUCACAUCUUGCAGCUGCUGAGAAAAUGAUUGUUUUAACAUUGUUAUUGGCACUUGAAGGAAAGGAACUAGAAAAUAUUUCUCCUCUACUCCCUGUAAGGCAGUGUGUUACGUGCUUCACCUGCGUGAUCGCAUUUCAUAUGCAGAACCGUCUACUCCUCCGUUCUCACUGUGAAGAAAGUAAUACUCGGCUCGUUUUGCAGAUGACGAAGCCGAGGCUCUGACCUGUGAACUAACAAGCCCAAGUGCACUUAGAGCGAAGCGGUGGAAUUAUUUUUUUCUCUAAGAUACUAAUUAAUUAUGUGGAGAGAUAAUUCACAUAGUAUACAAUUUACCUGCUUAAAGUGAGCAUGCAUGGUUUUUAGUAUAUUCGUAAAGUUGUGUAACCAUUGUCGCUCUAAUUCCAGACCGUUUUCAUCAGGUCAGGUGGGACUGUUUUGAGUCUAGGCUUCUCCUAUGAUUCCAUUUCUUUUUCUAAUUUGCCACAUAGUGAUUUAAAUUAACUAGACCCGAUUUAGGGGAACAUCAGGGCUUGUGUGUGUGAAAUAUGUGCAUAAAAGGACCAUCGCCUCAUAAGCUGUUUUCUUCCCGUUACUGCAGCAGUCCUGGCACGCUUUGAAUUGCUGCAGAAUACGCUGAAAUUCCUCUGGGCCCCCCAUCCUACCUUGUUUGUGUUUCCUGGACUUAGGACAGGGGACAGAAUAUUCCAAGCUUGAGGUUCCAGAAACAGCCCUGGGGUUGUAAUUGACAUCGUGAGAGGCACCCUUAUUCUGACCCGUGUCUUACUUGUCCCUGGAGCCCCAGAAUGUCAUGGUGCCUGGCAUAUAGGAAGUGCUUAAUAAAUGUUCAUGAAUAUCCAGAGGGUCAUUCCAUUAGCUCUAAUCUAAAUCACUGCCAUAACUGAUUCUUCUGCCUUUAGCCUUUCUCCUCCAGCCCCAGGUCUCUCCCACGUGAAAGACAAAGUGGUUGCUCUGGCCUAAAUCUACAGAGUUUAGACUGAAGUGAUCCUACUGGCUGUCCGUCCCUUUAAAAGGCUUUCCCCCAAGCCCUACCUAGCAACUGCUGCUUUCACGCUAUUGGCCGACACUGGGUGCAGGCCUGUGAGUGGCAAGGAGGGCUGGGGAAUCAGGAGUUGUCACUCUUCCGCCUCUGUAGUAAAGCGUGUUAAGGGAGAAGGGGACUCUGAAUAGCUUGGGGAAAACCAGCACAGCGCUUGCUCGCUCUGCAGUCCUUCCCUGAACCUGCACGUUCGUGUCAGUGAUUACAAAAUGGUUUGAUCUCUGUUUCCCCUAUUGGAUUCCAAACCCUUAAAUUGUGUAUGUUAGAAGGGGACGAUUUAAUUUUAGCAUCCCUAUCCCUAAUACAAUGCCAGCAUAUUGUAUUUAUUGAAUAACAAAAGAAAGAUGGUACAUUUUCAAGUAAGAACUUUGUGGGAUUUGGAAUUCUUGGCCGGACAAUUAGGGUCUUUAAGCAUUUAAAACCUUUUUUCAUUUCCUCUUCUUUAUCUCUUCUUCCUUUAUUUUAUUUUAUUUUAUUUUAUUUUAUUUUAAUUUUUAUCUUUUUGUCUUUUCUAGGGCUGCACCUGAGGCAUAUGGAGGUUCCCAAGCUACGUGUCCAAUUGGA